GACGAACGCUGGCGGCGUGCUUAACACAUGCAAGUCGAACGCUGAAGCUCAGCUUUUGUUGGGUGGAUGAGUGGCGAACGGGUGAGUAACACGUGAGUAACCUGCCCCCUUCUUUGGGAUAACGCCCGGAAACGGGUGCUAAUACUGGAUAUUCACUGGUCUUCGCAUGGGGGUUGGUGGAAAGGGUUUUUCUGGUGGGGGAUGGGCUCGCGGCCUAUCAGCUUGUUGGUGGGGUGAUGGCCUACCAAGGCUUUGACGGGUAGCCGGCCUGAGAGGGUGACCGGUCACAUUGGGACUGAGAUACGGCCCAGACUCCUACGGGAGGCAGCAGUGGGGAAUAUUGCACAAUGGGCGCAAGCCUGAUGCAGCGACGCCGCGUGAGGGAUGGAGGCCUUCGGGUUGUGAACCUCUUUCGCUCAUGGUCAAGCCGCAACAAUGGUUGUGGUGAGGGUAGUGGGUAAAGAAGCGCCGGCUUACUACGUG
This 483-nucleotide ribosomal RNA is filed under the name uncultured bacterium. Its description in RNAcentral is "partial 16S ribosomal RNA". It matches the Rfam family "Bacterial small subunit ribosomal RNA", at positions 28 to 507 of the family's 1533-position model. The record is from RNAcentral.